UGGGAGAAACCAGGCUCAGUUGGGGGGCCAGUUCUCCUCUGACCAGACGAAACCAGUAGUUCAAUUCCAGGCUGCAGCAAAGUCAGAUUGUGCAGAAGAAUCAUCUGUUUCCUGUGGUCUUGUUCUGGUGCUCCUCUGAGAAAAGGUCUUUACAGGGGAUCUGUAUCUGGGGCUCUAGUUGUCCUGGUCUCCGCUGUCUUUCAGGGCAGUAGAGGUCCUUUCUAGGUGCUGAUCCACCAUCUGGUCUGGAUACGUACUGGAUCCGGGUGACUGCAGUGACCCUCUGAUCUGGAUACAGACUGGAUCUGGUGGCCACGGUGACCUCGGAACAAGAGAGAAACAGACAAAUAUUAGCGUAGAUGCCAUUCUUCUAAUGAUGUAGAAAGUACGGUGUUAUUUGAAGUGUUUCCGGUUCCGGUUUACCUAAUUAAUGCAGCCUAAAAAUCCUUUAACGGAUUUGGAUAUUAAAUAUAUAUUAGUAUGUUAUGUGUAUGCCAGGUUAAAGAGAUGGGUCUUUAAUCUAGAUUUAAACUGCAAGAGUGUGUCUGCCUCCCGAACAAUGUUAGGUAGGUUAU
Molecule: long non-coding RNA, 575 nt
Organism: Carassius gibelio (silver crucian carp)
Lineage: Eukaryota; Metazoa; Chordata; Actinopteri; Cypriniformes; Cyprinidae
Exons: 2
Source: RefSeq, a predicted model, not a curated record